RNAcentral lists this small RNA (115 nucleotides) under Flavobacterium swingsii. Its description in RNAcentral is "Flavo-1 RNA". It matches the Rfam family "Flavo-1 RNA". The record is from RNAcentral. Lineage: Bacteria; Pseudomonadati; Bacteroidota; Flavobacteriia; Flavobacteriales; Flavobacteriaceae.
UAGUAGCCCCGAUAGUAGUGGAAAUCCUUUUGCUCGUCAGUUCGAGUUCCUCGCUUUUUUUGCGAGGAGUAUCGAGAACAAGAGCAAAAGAUUGCAGCGAAUAGCGGGAAAAAUG